UGGGGCAUUUUCCGCAAUGGGGGGAACCCUGACGGAGCAACGCCGCGUGCGGGAGGACGGCCUGUGGGUUGUAAACCGCUUUUCUCUGUGAAGAAGCUCUGACGGUAGCAGAGGAAUCAGCAUCGGCUAACUCCGCGCCAGCAGCCGCGGUAAUACAGAGGGGGCAAGCGUUGUCCGGACUUACUGGGCGUAAAGCGCACGCAGGUGGUAAGGCAAGUGGGGUGUGAAAGCCGCCAGCUCAACUGGCGGAGGCCAUCCCAAACUGCCUCACUUGAGGCCUGUAGAGGUGUGUGGAAUUGCCGGUGUAGUGGUGAAAUGCGUAGAGAUCGGCAGGAACACCCAGGGGGAAACCAGCAUACUGGACAGGACCUGACACUCAGGUGCGACAGCGUGGGGAGCGAACCGGAUUAGAUACCCCCGUAGUCC
This 426-nucleotide ribosomal RNA is filed under the name uncultured prokaryote. RNAcentral's name for it is "bacterial SSU rRNA". It matches the Rfam family "Bacterial small subunit ribosomal RNA", at positions 355 to 796 of the family's 1533-position model. The record is from RNAcentral.